This is a long non-coding RNA of Rhineura floridana, 1246 nucleotides long. RefSeq lists it as uncharacterized. The record is from RefSeq and is a predicted model, not a curated record. Lineage: Eukaryota; Metazoa; Chordata; Lepidosauria; Squamata; Rhineuridae. The transcript has 3 exons.
CUUUGUUUUUAAACCAGACUUGGACCAGACAAUCCUUCAUACAGAAGACUCCUUCAAACAGGGGACUGUUGUGGCCACCCUACAACAAAAUGUUGCAUCAUGGAAUGCUCCUGUUCAAGGUGGAUGGGUCAGAAAACAGAGUUUCUGAAGCUGAUUGUGAAGACCAGCUGUGUUGCAGUGCUAACCUGAAACAGACCAGCGUGGGUAUUCGCUUUGCUAAGGAGAAAGUGACCAGCAUGGAUCUUUGCUUCGCUAAGGAAGCCGUAUAAACACUCUGCAAGCAAAUCAGGAUGAAUGUUCAUUGUCGUAUAACUCCCCCAUAAACAAAUCAGAAAGAAUGUUUCAGCACCUUGGACAGCUCCUUAAAAGUUCUGACUAAAACCCGGAGGAGACCCACUGACAUGGAGCCACCAGCCGCCACUGCUCUGUGCAAGCUUUGCACAAACAAAUGAGGACACAUGCUGACUAAACCAGUUGCCUGGAUGAGCCCUUUAACUCUGACUUUCCUCCAUCCACCCUAGCAUUGAUGCUCUAGUGGGAAACCAGCUGUGAGAUGAGAGUCUUGGGUCAAAUAUUCAUUUUUUUCUAUUUUUUAAAUUUUCAUUUCAAAAAUACAAUUCAUUAAGAACCAAGUAGAACAGAUUAAUUUUUUUAAAAGGAGAAAAAUGGGGAAAAGAAAAGGGGCAAAAUCCCCAAAGAGAGCUAAAACGAGUUUACAAACUGUAAUUACAAUCAGAAUAGAGCAAAAUUCCACAUACAUAAACAAAGUUUUUUUCCCUUCUUUAUUUAGAGCAUUACAGGUGUGUUAAAUUACUUUAACAAUUUUCCAUGUAUCCAGGAAAACAGACUUUACAGUUGACUAGCUGACCUCAUUUCUCAUUUCCUUUUCCCAAAUGUUCAUGACUUUUCUUAUUGGAUAGUGGUGACUGAGGUGUCAGAUUUAAUUCUUCACUCUUUUUUUGAGAAGGCGCUCUUAUUUGUAUGGAAAACUGCUAGAAAUUCUUAAUGUGUAGGUCAAGAGAAUAGGCUUCUGUAUGUGUGUAUCUUACUUUGUUUCUUUGCAAACUUAUGUUGGAAAACCUGUACUCUGGAUUCCCAAGAAGAUGGCAAAUUCUUUUAUUUAUUUAUAGUAUAAAUUUAUCAGUCUUUUUUAUUUACAGGAGUUUUCAAAGCAACAUGCAAUCAUGAAACAAAAUAAAAUGAAGCCAGCUAGUCUCUCCCACCAGUCUCACUAACUUAAAAGAAA